AAAGUCGUAACAAGGUUUCCGUAGGUGAACCUGCGGAAGGAUCAUUCAUAAUAAGUGUUUUAUGGCACUUUUAAAAAUCCAUAUCCACCUUGUGUGAAAUGUCUGUCGCUCUCUAGCUUUUCUUUUCUUCGGAAAGGAGAAAGAGGCGGCUCAACAUCAACUCAUUUUAAUUACUUUGUCUGAAAACUAUUAUGAAUAAACUAAUUCAAAAUACAACUUUCAACAACGGAUCUCUUGGCUCUC
Molecule: unclassified non-coding RNA, 243 nt
Filed under: Mucoromycotina sp.
Lineage: Eukaryota; Fungi; Mucoromycota
Description: partial contains small subunit ribosomal RNA, internal transcribed spacer 1, and 5.8S ribosomal RNA
Rfam family: Eukaryotic small subunit ribosomal RNA (bases 1-47)
Source: RNAcentral